UUCUUUCUUACUUUUCCAUUCUCCUACCCCUUUAUUCACCCAACCCACAACUUUCAACCUCAUUUUUCAUCCCAACUAAACCUUAAGAGAGAGAAAGGAAGAAAGAAGAAAGGAAAAAGGAAGAGAAAAGCUCGGAGAAGGCUCGGCCUUAAAAGAGAAAAGAGAAAACCAAGAGGUUUUCCUCCCCACCCACACACCAUUGUUGAGGAUUUCAAGCAAUGAUCAAUAAAGAUCCAAGGAACUCGAGGCAUGCAUGUGAAAGAAUCUUAAAAUGCGUGGUGAUUUUGAGCUAGAUUAAGUGGUGUUUUCAGGAUCGAAGAUAGUUGGAUCCUAGGUCGAGGUGCUCCCUCCUAUUCAUCUUUCGGUAGGUUCACUACAACUCUCAAUGAUAGCACCCAUGCCCAGAGUCACUCUGCUGGUUGUCAAGGGUCGGUUGUAUGUUUAUAUGUGAUGGUUUAAUGUAAAUUGUGAGAUUUGUUGUGAACUUUGUAUGUACUUGAUUUUCACGAUUUAAAUUUGAAGAG
Theobroma cacao (cacao) is the source of this 524-nucleotide non-coding RNA. The record is from RefSeq and is a predicted model, not a curated record. NCBI's taxonomy places the organism in Eukaryota, Viridiplantae, Streptophyta, Magnoliopsida, Malvales, Malvaceae.